This 96-nucleotide transfer RNA is filed under the name Alicyclobacillus hesperidum. RNAcentral's name for it is "tRNA-Pyl". Lineage: Bacteria; Bacillati; Bacillota; Bacilli; Caryophanales; Alicyclobacillaceae. The record is from RNAcentral.
GUUGGGGUUAUCCGAUAGGCAACGGAGGCUGAGCCUCUAGGGUUCAGUCUCCGUUCACCGGUUAGGAAUUAGAUGGUUCAAGCCCAUUCCGCACGC